CAGUCGCCGCGGGAAUACGGAGGGGGCUAGCGUUGUUCGGAAUUACUGGGCGUAAAGCGUGCGCAGGCGGUUAUAUAAGACAGAUGUGAAAUCCCCGGGCUCAACCUGGGAACUGCAUUUGUGACUGUAUAGCUAGAGUACGGCAGAGGGGGAUGGAAUUCCGCGUGUAGCAGUGAAAUGCGUAGAUAUGCGGAGGAACACCGAUGGCGAAGGCAAUCCCCUGGGCCUGUACUGUCGCUCAUGCACGAAAGCGUGGGGAGCAAACAGGAUUAGAUACCCGCGUAGUCCCUGUCUCUUAUAC
RNAcentral lists this ribosomal RNA (301 nucleotides) under uncultured bacterium. Its description in RNAcentral is "partial 16S ribosomal RNA". It matches the Rfam family "Bacterial small subunit ribosomal RNA", at positions 509 to 807 of the family's 1533-position model. The record is from RNAcentral.